This 4050-nucleotide long non-coding RNA is filed under the name Sarcophilus harrisii (Tasmanian devil). RNAcentral's name for it is "lncRNA (ENSSHAG00000030400.1)". Lineage: Eukaryota; Metazoa; Chordata; Mammalia; Dasyuromorphia; Dasyuridae. The record is from RNAcentral.
GAAUGAAUGAAACAGAAUUUAUUAAGUACUUAUCAUGUACUAAACACUAUACUAAGCACUAAGGAUACAAAUAUACAAUCAAGACAAGUCCCUACCUCAAGGAGUUCAUAUUCUAACAAUAUAUUCUUAACAAUAGAAAGACAACACACCUAAGUGGCCAAGGAAAUCUGUUUUGGUUUAGGAAACAUGUUGAUUGGAUCUAUGGAGCAACUGAUCCAAUAGAUCCUUUACAGAAACAAUAGCAGAUCUGUACAAAUCCAAUAAAAGUGUAAGAAUGAAGUUAAGGAUCUGGAUAGAAUUUUAGAAAAGUUAGGUAGGCCUUUGGCCAUUGAGGAAGGGGAAUCAACAGAAAUAUACAUAGUUCUUGGUCUUGCAUUGUACCUUGAAAAAAUUAACCAUGUGCCAGAGCAGAAAGAAUUCAUAAAAAUGCAGAAAAGCAUAAAUAUCAAACACACUCUUUACUGAACAUAAAUGCAACAAUAAAAGUUAUAAUCAAGAAUUUGUAGAAGGGAUUCAGCCCCAAAUAGAGACUACAUAUUAGAAUCUUUAAAAUACGUGUAGGUCAAAGAACAAGCUAUGCCAACAAUAAUUUAAUUAAAGAAAAUGACAAUUAUGAUAACAUGAAAAAAUUCAGGAUGCAGAUAAAGCAGUUCUUAGUAGAAAAUUUUUAUCUGUAAACACUUUCAGCAACAGAAGUUAUUCCCAAAGCUAGGAGUAGAAAAGGUUGAGCAUAGAGGUGAGGAAGUACUACUACGUGUGUGUGGAUGGCAAGAUGUCAAACCCAGAGGGCUGAAAGGGAUGUGUAAAUGGCUUGGCUCCUAAUGGCUCCUAAUUUACAAAGUCAUUAUGUACAUUCUUAAAUGAACGAUUAAAAAAAAAAAAAACUCAAAGCAAAUAUUCAUAAUCCAUCAAUGAACAAAUCCCCACCUUUGGCCGAGAGCCAGGACUCAUUCUACAUUUUAGGUUCAUUGCAGGAGUGAAUGGCAUGAUUAAUGUACAAUCCUCUAGAUUUUGUUUACACUAUACAAAGUUCUCAAGUCUUUCAACGUUGUUCCUAUCUGUACUUUUAUUAAAGUCUAUUUUUUCAUUUUUCAUACCAUAAUAAUUUUCAUUUCAAACCAUAAUCCCCUCAAUUAUUGCAUUAUCCGAGAAUAUCAUUUUCCUGCUUAAAUAACUUUGAUACUUUCCUGUUAUCUCUAAGAUAAAUACAAACAUUUCAGGUUAGCAUUAACCUUACACAAUCUAGCCUCCAUUUGCCUUUCCAGAAUUCUUCCCCCCACCCUCCAUUUAUUUUAAUCUUUUAAAAUUCAAUGAUCUUUUGUUUUUCCAUCACUUUCAUGGUCUAAUAUAUCCAUAUAUCUUGAAGCAAAAGGGAAAAGACAGUUUGACAAAACUGAUAAACACAUCAACCAAAUCUGAUAUUAUAUGACACAUACAGGAUCCCACAUUAAGAAGAGACCCUCACAUCCGCAAGAAAGGAAGGAGAUAACUUUAUCUCAAACACCCCUUCCUUUGCAGCUGUUUGGUCAUUAAAAUAACACAACAUUCAGUUCUAUUUAUUUUGUGUUCUUUCCAUUUGGAUGAUUCAUAUUAUCUCCCUGGUUUUUACUUCACUCAGUAUCAGUUAAUUUCUAUCUUCCAAUGAUUCUCUGAAUUCUUCAUACUCGUCAUUUCACAUAGCAUAGUAAUAUAACAUUAUCAAUCACUGACUCUUAUUUAUGCUUUAAAAAAAAAAAAUCAGAAUCAUUUCCCAAUAUACCUUUCCCCACAGCAAACCAUUGCUGGUAACGAAGAAAAAAAUUAAAACCCAAUCAACAAAGCAACGAUAACUAGAGGAUACACAACAUUCUAUCUUCAGCCACUCCUCUACCAAGUCUAAAAUGUCCAUUGUAAGGAAGUGGAGGUGAUAAAGGAAUAUCAAUGAGAGGGUGAAAUACUUUUUUUAAAAAAUGUGCAUAAUGACUAUGCAAAUUAUGACAAUUAUUAACAAAUCCCUGAUAAAUAUACCUAGAAAAAGAUCAUCUGGGCCAGCCCUAUAAUGGUACUGGGAUUUUCAAUGGAUUUUUGGAAGUCCUGCCCUGAGGCAUUUUUCCUGAUAGUGAAUUCCUAGUUUCUCUGGAACAGGAUUGAUCACUGCAAUUAUUCUGUUUGGUAGCAUUUUAAUUUCAUUUUCAUUCAUAUUAUUGCAAUCAUUUAGUAUAUGGAUUUUGCUUCAAUUUUCUUCCUUCUAUAUCACUUCACCCAAAUUUCCCAAGUUUCCGAGUUCCUCGUGUUUGUCAUUUCUAAUAGUGCAAGGACAUUUUAUUACAUUCAUCUACAACAAUUUAUUCUAUCAUUUCCCAAUAAAAGGGUACCCUUGUUGCUUCCAGUUCUUGGCUAAUAGAGUACCCUUAUUCUGAAAAAUUCUGCAUAUAUUUUUUUCACUGAUAUCCUUGGGGUAUGUGCCCAGUAGUGGUGUGAUUCCUUAAAAGGCUUAUUAAUAGGAGUAGAAAUAGGGAUCAAGUCAGGACCUGAUUUUACUGGCAAAGGGAACUCCUGAAUAAGGAUCUAACAAUGUAAGUCGGCACCUUUUCUGCAGCUUGUGGUCCUAGAGAGGUGCCUGGAGAACUGAGAAGUCAGCAGGUGAUCCAGAGGCCAGAUUCAAACUCGGAUCUUCGUGGAUCCAAGGCCAACUGAAUAUUCACUAGGCUAGGGAGCCUGUUGUGACGAUGAUGAUUGUCAUACACAACUAUGUCAUUUUUCCUCACUGGAAGCUGGAGACUUGAGGAAAAUAGCACUAGAAUAAAAAAAAUUAGCACAUAGCAGCCCCCAGUGAAAGUUCUCCAAGAUACUUGUGGUCUUCUGAAGGCACAGACAUGUUUCUGUUACAUUAGGGAAGGACUGUGAUUUUCUCAUAGCGAGAAAAUAAAAAUGGCUUACUGCCUCCUCCAGGGUGACAAUGAAGACGAGUGGGUGAGCCCUUAUGAAAGCAGCAGCUGUGGGGACUGUCACAGAUCAGGGGCCCUGAUGCAGGUCCGACACCAGCAGGCCCUGUAAGUUACAAGGAGGACCAGAAAAGGGGAAGACUGGAUCUCCUCCAAAGGAAAGCCUCAUCUGGGAAUAACCAAAAACAAAAACAAAAGACAAAAAAGAAAAGGUUUUUUUAAAGUGCCUACUGUGUGCCAAGAAUGGUGCUAGGUGCUGGGGGUAUAAAUAAAGCCAAGACACUCCCUGUUCCCAGGGAGUGUGCAUUGUAGUCAUGUAUUGGCUAUAGUGUACAAGUCCAGACCCCCUUCCCCUUCACCAAAAAUCAUAAUGAGACAGAGGAACAUGGGAAAACAUCUAUAAAACAGCAGAGUAAAAAUAAAAAAGCAGAACCACAAGAAUAUACACAACAUCAACAUUAAAUAAAAAGAAAAUUAAAGGGCAGUUGAAUUCUGGGUAAUUGAGGAAAAAAAAAAUUCAAUCCAAACCAACCUACCAAACCACUAUUAGUCCUGGCAAAUACCACAGAUCCAUCUCCUCUCAAUAGAGGGAAGAGGACACAAGGUAGCAGAAUAUUGGGGAAAAUACUGUCUACUUUUAUAGGAUUCUAGCUGGAAGGCCCUGAGGAAAUUUGAGGAAAAGUAUAAGAGUCAUGAUUUAAAUCUUCAAUUUUUUUUUUUGGGGGGGGAACUAAGCAAUUGGGGUUAAGUGACUUGUUCAGGGUCACACAGCUAGGAAGUAUUAAGUGUUUGAGGCUGAAUUUGAAUUCAGGUCCUCAUGAUUUCAGAGUAGGUGCUCUAUCCAUUGUGCCAUCUAACUGCCCCCAUGUAAAUACAGGAAUAGAAAUGCAUCAUCAGAUUUGGAAUCCAAGGACCCAUGUUUGAGAAUCACCUUGGCUCCUCACCUAGUACAAGUCUUUUCUUUUUUUUUUUGAGUCUCACUUUCCUCUCCUGAAAAUGGGGAGGUGGCAGGAUGGAUGAAAUGAUAAAUCAGAGCUCUUUCUGCCACAAAUCUAUGAACUUAAAGGAAUGAGCCACUGACUACCAACAUUCUCCAUCCUGCCAUCUCUGACAUUCUAGGCUCUCG